This 560-nucleotide long non-coding RNA is filed under the name Homo sapiens (human). RNAcentral describes it as "non-protein coding LINC02591:16". The record is from RNAcentral. Lineage: Eukaryota; Metazoa; Chordata; Mammalia; Primates; Hominidae.
UUGUGCAGAGGACUCUCCAGGUGAAGGCUCAAGGGUGGAUCCAGCUCGAGACACCCUCGCUCCCCCUCACAGUCGGACCUUAGGAUUUAGGCUUUAACAUCUCCACAUCAUGAGAUUCGAAACCUUUAGGUCUUGUCUUCCGUUCUGUCCUCCAAAUCGGCCUCUUCCGAGCCUGUUGACCAGGGCCAGCCGGGCAGAGGGCUGGGCUCGCUCAACGAGGCUCCUCUCGCACCUCCUGGAGCUUCAGGCUUCUUUCCGUUGCAGAGAAGCUUUAUGGGCCAAUUCGUUCGGCAUCCCCGGGGGCAGGUGCGCGGUGCGCGGGGAAGAAGAGGAUUUGACUGCGGUUCUCCACCCCCGGCGCCCAACCUCCACCCCGGUGCGCGCGCUCUUCCAGGCUCCUGCUGGUCCCACUUGCCAGGAGUUAGGUCUCAGGUCAGCCUGAGCUCCUGAGACGCCCAGGCCCGGAAAGACACGUAGGGGAAACCAUCUGCUCACUUCUGUCCUGUCCGGAAGGGAUCCCUUUCUGACGGGAAAGAAAGGCGGUGAGUCCUGUCCUGUUG